Molecule: ribosomal RNA, 484 nt
Filed under: Corydoras sp. 'C150 mazurani'
Lineage: Eukaryota; Metazoa; Chordata; Actinopteri; Siluriformes; Callichthyidae
Also listed under: 2 other names
Description: partial 16S ribosomal RNA
Rfam family: Bacterial large subunit ribosomal RNA
Source: RNAcentral
AGGUCCUGCCUGCCCAGUGACUAUGUUAAACGGCCGCGGUAUUUUGACCGUGCAAAGGUAGCGCAAUCACUUGUCUUUUAAAUGAAGACCUGUAUGAAUGGUGGAACGAGGGCCUAACUGUCUCCCUUUUCAAGUCAAUGAAAUUGAUCUGCCCGUGCAGAAGCGGGUAUACAAAUACAAGACGAGAAGACCCUUUGGAGCUUAAGAUUAAAAAUCAACUAUGUCAAAUAUUUAUUAAAUAGAACUAAAUAGUAAUUGAUCAUAAUCUUCGGUUGGGGCGACCACGGAAUAAAAACAAACUUCCACAUGGACUGAGGACUAACCUUAAAACCAAGAAAGACAUUUCUAAGUAACAGAAUUUCUGACCACACAGAUCCGGCAAAUUGCCGAUCAAUGGACCAAGUUACCCUAGGGAUAACAGCGCAAUCCCCUUUUAGAGUUCCUAUCGACAAGGGGGUUUACGACCUCGAUGUUGGAUCAGGAC